Molecule: unclassified non-coding RNA, 90 nt
Filed under: Pseudomonas mandelii
Lineage: Bacteria; Pseudomonadati; Pseudomonadota; Gammaproteobacteria; Pseudomonadales; Pseudomonadaceae
Source: RNAcentral
UGUAGGAGUGAGCCUGCUCGCGAUGACUGACUGUCAUUCAACAGUGAUGUCGACUGUAUGACCGCUAUCGCGAGCAGGCUCACUCCUACA